GAUGAACGCUAGCGAUAGGCUUAACACAUGCCAGUCGAGGGGCAGCAUGGUCCUAGCUUGCUAAGCCUGAUUGCGACAGGCGCACGGGUGCGUAACGUGUCUGCCACUUGCCUCUCAGAGGGGGAUAACACGCUGAAAGACGGACCAAUACCGAGCACACUUGGGAUAGGGCAUCCUGACACAAGGAAACGAAAUUCGCUGUGCGCUAGGCAUGCGUGCCAUUAGCUAGUGGGUGAGGUAACGGCUCACUAGGGCGAUGAUGGGUAGGGGAACUGAGAGGGGGGGCCCUCAGACUGGGACUGGGACACUGAGCAGACUGCUACGGGAGGGAGCAGUGAGGAAGAUAGGAGAAGGGGCGAGAGCCUGAAGCAGCCAAGUCGCGUGAAGGAAGACUGUCUUAUGGAUUAUAAACUUCUUGUUUACAGGAGUAACAGGAGUCACGUGUGGGUCCCUGAAGGUACCGUAUAAAUAAGCAUCGGCUAACUCCGUG
Molecule: ribosomal RNA, 490 nt
Filed under: uncultured bacterium
Lineage: Bacteria
Description: partial 16S ribosomal RNA
Rfam family: Bacterial small subunit ribosomal RNA
Source: RNAcentral